This 253-nucleotide ribosomal RNA is filed under the name uncultured bacterium. RNAcentral's name for it is "partial 16S ribosomal RNA". It matches the Rfam family "Bacterial small subunit ribosomal RNA", at positions 524 to 776 of the family's 1533-position model. The record is from RNAcentral.
UACGUAGGGGACAAGCGUUGUCCGGAAUCAUUGGGCGUAAAGAGCGUGUAGGCGGCCAGACAGGUCCGUUGUGAAAACUCGAGGCUCAACCUCGAGACGCCGAUGGAAACCGUCUGGCUAGAGUCCGGAAGAGGAGAGUGGAAUUCCCGGUGUAGCGGUGAAAUGCGCAGAUAUCGGGAAGAACACCCGUGGCUAAGGCGGCUCUCUAGUACGGUACUGACGCUGAGACGCGAAAGCGUGGGGAGCGAACAGG